AUGACACUUUAUUACGAAUAAAAGUAAUGGCACGUUUGGUAAGAGUGUAAGGUUUGCGGGUACAAGGUCCCAAGUUCGAAUCCCAUGUCUGGCAUUUUUUAUUUUUUUUUAUUUAACUUUACUUCUGUUUUAAAUUAUUUUCAAAAAAAUCAUAAAAUUGUAUUUUUUUAAUUAUUUUUAAUCAAUUUUCGUAUUUUAUUAAUUAUGUAUUUUAAAAUAUUAAUUUUUUUAUUUUUUUUUAUUUUUCCAUUUUUAUUCAUAGAAAUUACCAAAAAAAUCAUAAAAUAAAAUAAAAAAAGAUUUGAAAACUUUCUUUCCUUUUUCUCUUUUUAGGAAGAACACUUAUUUUUAGAAAAGAAUUAUUGUAAUUAGUUAAAAUAAUUUUUGAGUCUUAAAUGAAAUAAUAUUUGAUUUUUAAACCUGAAUUAUAUUUGAUUGAUUAAAUGAUUUUAUUCUAUUUUUAAUUAACCUAAUUUUAUGUGUAUAUAUAUACUAACAUUUUCUACACUUUUGGGGGGACAUUCACGGAUAACAGCAAAAUUGGAAUAGCAGCGAAGAAAAGUUGAACUUUGACAAACACCGCCGUCAACCAUUCCACACGGUCGGAACGCUACCAGCGCCUCCGUCGCUCACGGGUUUCUGAUAGGCAUCACUGCGUAAUUCUCUCGCUGACAACACCGCAACUACCAGCAGCUGACGCAUCCAACAACUCUGUCGGCCGGAAAACCACCGCGCUGGAUCCACAGCGCCUCCGGUCAAACUCAUCCUUCGCGUGAUCCUCCGAUGAAAUCAUCGUCCGCCCUCGGAUUGCCGUUUCAAUGUGUUGAUGUAAGUAUUUCUCUUUUCUUGUUUGAUCUGCAUCUAUAGGCGAUAACGUUGUUAAUUCUCUGGUUUUUUCCUUGAAUAUUCACCGUGGUUUUUUUUUAUUAGAACAAACAUGGCUGUGUUGUUUCUGUAUUUUGUUCGGUGUACAGGGAUAAAAGAAGAACAUAGUAAAGGAAAUGUAUCGUGACCUUCUUUUUUUUAUUGUUAUAAUGUUUUGUUUUUUUAAUUAGACCACAUGUGAAACUGUGAUUGGAUGGUACUUUUUUACUUUGAAAAUUCAAAGAGAGAGAACGAAGGAUUGUUGUUGAUGCCAUGUUUCACUUUUUUUUCCCUCUUGUUUUAAUUUCUUAGUAUUUAUCCACUAGUUAUAUAAAUUCAAUUAGGAUUUUAGAAAUUAUAAAAAUGGACUUUGGAUCUUUAGUUAGUUAGUUAGAUUAAUUUAAUUAAUUUUGUUUAACUAAUUUAUUAUAAUUCAUUAAUUUUAGUUUAGUUUAUUUUAUUGCAUUGUUUUUAAUCAUAUUAAUCAAACAUGUCAAGAAACAAAAAUAACCCUUUUUUAUUUUGUUAGUUUUUAUCCAAUAAGCUUUUUUCGUACAAAUUUAGAUUUAUUAGUUUACUCAACUUCACUAAUUUGUUUUUUGUGAGAUUAGUUUACUUAAUUUCUACCAUUAUAAAAUAUCAAAAAUAUUAGGUUUAGUUUCUUUUCUAUUUACUCGAUAUAACAAUAUUUAAAAAUAUUAAAAAAUAUUAUUUUAGUUAAUAUUUGUUUAGAAAUUAAUAUAUUUGUAUUUUUUGUUAAUUUUUUUAUUAAUCAUUGUUCAUAUUAUUUUAUAUAUCCGUCCUCCCACUUUCUUGUUUAUUGCGAGGUACAUUCGAGCUGUUCAUCUAUUCCUGUGGAUAUUUGCAAAUUCAUCAUCAAUCUCCUACCAUCCAGAUCUAACGUACACAAAGCUGAAGGUUUACCAUGCACCCUCACUCGAAGGGUUUGUCCUGCCCGAGGCUUCCCGCCAACCAUAUCAGAUCAAAUGCAAAGCUAAGUAUCUAUUUUUCUUUAUUUAUUUAUUUAGCCUUACAAUAUUUGUCCUUUUAUUUUAGGGCUAGUUCUUUUACCUUCGAACCAAUAAUGCACUCACUCCCUCUGUUUAUUCUGUCUUUUUCAAUUUUUAGGGUUCGUCGACUGCCAAAGCUACGAGUACUGGUAACCCUAAACCCUGAUAUUUCUUGUCUUUUAUUACUUGUGCCAAACCCUAUUAGGGAUCCGCUGGUUUCAUUGUCCCCUUCCCCAUAUUGCUAUUGUUAUUGCUGUAUGAUAAACUGCGUGGUUAGUAAUUUAGGGAGUGUAACCUUGAAUUGAAUUAGCCUCACUAACUAUAAGAUAAUUUAAUCGAAUUAAUCACGUGAUUGUUGCACACACGCACCCUUUUGGGGUAACCUCUCUGUUGCCUUGUUGCCUGUUGCCUGUUGCCUUUGUGUUUUUUGCAGAAUAAGCCAUGUCCCUCGAAUACGAGGAUACCUCAGCCAUGCUGCCUCGAUAAUUAAAGGUCAUAUGACCCUAAAUGAUGCUGCCUUCGAUACACAAAUAUGACCUCGACCCUCGGAAGUUGCCUACGGAAAAAGGCUGAGGUAUCUUCUGGCUGCCUACGAAAAGGCUUAUUCUGAUCCUUCCCCUUAGACUACCUGCCCCUCUAUGGCAUGGGUCAGUCUUUGGGCAAAGGAUAUCUCGACGACCCUUCAACCUCCAAACGAAAGGCUUCCUGCCCACUUAUGGCAAGGAUUGACCCUUUCAUUCUGAAAGGCUAAAAAGAGACCUAUCAUCUGAGUUUAAGGUAAUUGCCCCUAAUUGCCUUGCAAUGCUCAAACAAUUUUAAUAUUCUUUCUCACAAUUCUUCGAAAACUGGCUACACUCAUUUACGAGUUAAAGUCCACUUUUUUCUUUCAUCUACUUUUUCUAAAAAAACAAACGAGCAAGCAAAGCAAUUAAGAGCCCAUGGAAAACCAUGGAUGCAAAGGGUGCCUUACACCUUCCCUUUGCAUAAAUUACCCCCCGAACUUAGAUUUCUUAAAAAGGUUUUUUCUGUUUCUUUUAGCCUUUCUGAAUUCGUUUGGAUAAAAUAAAAGUCGGUGGCGACUCUUGCUUAACCGCGACAUUUCGAUUGAUAAAAAGUCAGUUCACCGUAUCACAGAACUGGCGACUCUGCUGGGGAUUAAAAUUCGAUAAAAGAGGGGUUACCUUAAAAGUUUAGGAAUCACUAAAAUGUUUUCUAUUGCCUGCUUUGCUUAUUUUAUUUUUCAGGGCUGUUUUGGGAAAAUUGAAGGACGAAUCCUAUUCCCGGAUUCAAGAACACUUAAGAUUAGGAGCGGCAUAGUCAUGGAGACCCCCCUUGUGCAUGCUUGGGGUUGGUCAAAAUGAAGUUCGCGCUUGAGUUAGGCCUCCACUGGUUAUUGUGUACCUCUUUUGCAUGAGAGAGGUUUAUGCAUGUAUCUUUGGGUGCGUCGGAGCUCAAGGACCUUUAGUCACCUUUAACCCAUCCUGACUUUUAGGAACGUAGUGGGAGGGCUAUUCUUGGUGCAUGCCAAGUUAUGGUCGCUACCCGAUACUACAGCUCAGAUAGGUUUCUUCCUAAAGUAUCAUUGCGUGGUAUGCAUGUACCAUGUUCGAGGGUGCUUUAGAGGGGGCUGACAAUUCUGAGUCACUUGGUAGAACCCGUUGCUGAAAUCUCCUUAUCCAUAAAAAUACCCUUGGGAAGGACACCUGAUCAGACUCCAUGCAAGCCUUAAGCCAAAAAUUGUGUGACUUGCGUGACUUGUGUGACUUGUUUGUGUUUGCUACUAACCUUCGUUCCUCGCAGGUUUUGUUGAAAGGACUCACUUGUCCUUACUAUUAUCUCACACUAUGCCUAAUUAACUUCAUUCGCAUAACAUCAUGACAUCAUAAGCAUAACAUGAUUUAACUAACCCUUUCAAGGAUCUUAGGGAUUUAGGGCACACAAUUUCAUGUGCUCUUAUCAAGGACGGAAUUCCUAUCUAGGGGCAGGAGGAUUUACUUUCCUCUGGCCAUUUGUCUUCCAAAUCAAAGACACCACACCUAUCAAUGGGCAAAAGGAUUUAUUUUCCUUUGGCGUUAUGCCUUCCAAUUCAAAGGCUCCGUACCUAUCAAGGGGCAAAAGGAUUUAUCUUCCUCUAGCCAUAUACCUUCAAAUUCAGAGAUAUCCUGAAUCAGAGGCGAUGACCCACUCGAUAUGGUGAGCUUGGUUCUCUAAGAAAGACGUUCAAAGACAAAAUUCAGAAUUCUUCAGACAAAGACGCGACCAAAUCAUUUUCUAAUAUUGCUAACUAAAUUCCUAAAGAUCCUUGAAAAGAUUGCAUUUGCAUUCAUAACAUCACAUAGAACUAACUUUUCCUUUCAGGUCGACCAACUGGUCAGACAGAUACCAUCAACAAAUCAAUCUCUAUCAGAUGAACAUUCUGGAAGCUUGACCCCCAGACUUCUGAAACAUUCCAAUUAGAUAUACAUUCCGGAAGCUCGAACCCCGGACAUUCUGAAAGUUCCAAUCAGAUGAACAUUCUGGAAGCUUGACCCCCAGACUUCUGAAACAUUCCAAUCAGAUAAACAUUUCGGAAGCUUGAACCCCGGACAUUCUGAAAGUUCCAAUCAGAUGAACAUUCUGGAAGCAUGACCCCCAGACUUCUGAAACAUUCCAAUCAGAUAUACAUUCCGGAAGCUCGAACCCCAGACAUUCUGAAAGUUCCAAUCAGAUGAACAUUCUGGAAGCUUGACCCCCAGACUUCUGAAACAUUCCAAUCAGAUAUACAUUCCGGAAGCUUGAACCCUGGACAUUCUGAAAGUUCCAAUCAGAUGAACAUUCUGGAAGCUUGACCCCCAGACUUCUGAAACAUUCCAAUCAGACAUACAUUCCGGAAGCUCGAACCCCGGAUACUCUGAAUCUCUACACCAGUUCCACAACAACAACGCAAGCCAGAUGUACCUAAGCGCCAAUUCACCAAAAUCAAUAUGUCGUCAGCUCAAGCAUUACAACAUUUGUAAAGAUCAAAUUGAUUACUCUGAGAGAUUCUCCUAAGAAUUCUAACACCUCCACUCCUGGCUAUAAACUCAAUGCGAGGUGCGCGUGCCAUUCCAACUUUCCUGGACAUUACAAAAACAAUUGCUGGACAUUGAAGAAUAAGAUCAAAGAUCUGAUCAAUGACGGAGAAAUCAAAUUCGACCCUCUUGAAUAUUCCUGUGGUGAUCACCGCUCUUAUGCCUAGUCAUGACAAUACUGAUUGACGUCUGGCAGGACGAACUUUUGGAUCAUUAUAUCUACUUUCAUGCGCAAUUCCUAUUCUGUUUGUUUAAACAUUCGGCUUAUGAUAUACAUUAUCUGUUUUAAUAAUCAUCAUCAGUGCAUUGCAUAUGUUUGUCUUGAAUAAAUUAUUUCACUAUCACUCAUCUAAACUGCAUCUUUACUCUACAUAUGUUUUAUGAUACUCAACUCCUGCUAAAGCUGUAUACCUUUUGAGGGAGGAUGACGAAAAUGAUACCGCGAACUCAUACAGUAUGCUUUUGAGCGGACUAUGCUGACGAUGUACAGGCAUUGCUUUAAUUCCUAAACAGUGGAGAUAUAAGGAUGUUAAUCCCUCGUCAACCCCUUUGAGCCUAAGAAGUAGAAGUUUCUCUCUUGAACAAAUUAAAAACCCUUGAUCAUAACCUGGGGCAGGGUAGUUCUCAGUUAAUUUGGCUGUGCAUUCUAUUUUAAGAGAAUCAUUCAGUACCCCUUUCGAUAAAGGCUUCAAUCACAAGCGUUCAUCCGCACACAUCAAAGAAGUGUUGGAGAUGACAAUCAAAAAACAAUGAUGGUUCGUCAAUCAUCAAACAAGACAGUCAAUAUCUUCAAAAGAAAAAAUGAAAAAAUAUAUAUACAAAGAAAAGCCUGCUAAGUCAAAAAUCAAAAGACGACUUAGGCAAAAUCAAGGCAUCCCGCUGACUGUAAUCUCAGAAAUAAACAGUUCAGGCAAAAGUUAGGAAUAUCAAAAAGAUGAAAAAAGAGAAGUCAAUAUACAACACAAUGUUGUGACUACCAAAGGAAGAAGCGACUGCCAUCUCAAAAGCUUUCCUUGCUUGUGAACCAUCAUCAUUAUCAAAGGUGCAAAUCCAAAAGUCUCUUGGAACCUGAAUGCACAAGUUGAAUUAACUGAGCUUAGGAUCGAAGAUCAUCACGAAGAGGGGUGGGUACAAUCAAUUUUUGAGCCUUUAUCCUUCGUUUCUUAAACCGUGAACCAAGCCACGUUACAACCCUUAAAAGUCCUAACUGAAGCAUGGUUAGUUCGAAAGCAUACUGUCACAAAAAAGGUAUCCUGACUCCUUAAGGUUUACCAAAAAUGCUGAGUUGAUAUUUCAUUUUUUACAAACAUCACGCUUUUACAAACGUCACGUUGUUACAAAUAUCAUGUCUUUACAAAUGUCAUGUUUUUACAUCUCCAGUUUUAAUGUUUUUCAAAAACUCAAGACAAACGUAUGCAUUGCAUCUCAUGAAUACAUUAUUAAACAUAUUCUGCUACAUAAUUUCAAAUGUUAGCAACAGAAAGAAUUUGCACAGGGUACAACUAAUGAUUGAAAGUUAUCCCGAUAAACAAAAUUACUCCAAGGAAGCCAUGUCUCUUACGUAUACAAGGGGCAUGACAUGUUUCGUCCAAUCAAUCUGGGGCAAUCAAGUCAAGAUUCUGAGAAUCUCUCAUGGAUGCUCGAACAAUCAGGGGCAUGCACCCAAGCAUAUCUAAAGCUACUCCCCAAUCAACGUGAGACAUUGUCAUGAGCCUAUGAUUACUGGGGGCAUAUCGCCCAUAGUAAACAUCUCAUAAAGUCCUCGCGAGGCGAAUCUUUCCAAAGUUCCUGCUAACUGGGGCAAAUCUAUGCAAGUCCAAAUUCAACAUCUUGAUCAAUACUCAGUGGCGUGUCCUGAAUCAAGUAGUAAGUUACUAUGAUACUGGGGGCAACUUUCAAGACACCCAUGUCUCCCCACAGAGCCAGGUUCACAAAACCACCUCCCCGCAGAGUAAUCAUUAAGAAGACAUCUUCAAACAUACUCGUCCUGACAAAGACAUAGCUCCUCAACAAAGUUUACAUUUUCAACACUGCUGGUUCUCCAACACUUUGUUCUUCUCCAACAUGGUUUAUUAAUCCCCAGUCAGGGUACAUCAAGUUACUGAUCAUCCCCAAGCAGAAAUCAUAAAUCCCCAGCUACACAUCUUCAAAACAAGAUCAAAUAUCCAAUCCACAAGGAUACAUAGAUUUGUUUUCUCAGAACAACAUCAGUCAUACAUCAUAUACAUCACAUACAUAUUCAUACAUUGCAUACAUUACUUUAUGAUAAACAUACAGGAGAAAACUCGUCAUACAGUACAUGCAUCAUGACAUUGCAUAUUUCUAAUUUUGUUUUCAGGUUCCGCUUCGACAAACAUUCCUCUCAAAUAUAAUCGAGAUGAAGAUUCACAUUCCAAAACUUCAUCAAAAUAACUUACCAACUCCAAUGUACAAGCAUUCUCUAUCAGAUAUGGUCUAAUAUAUGACCCGUUCCGGUAUUCUCAGUCAGAUAUGGUCAAAUGUAUGACUCGUUCUGGCGUUAUCCUUCAGAUAUGGUUUAGUGAAUAACUCGUUCUGACAUCCUUCAUCAGAUAUGGUCUAAUAUAUGACCCGUUCCGGUAUUCUCAGUCAGAUAUGGUCAAAUGUAUGACUCGUUCUGGCAUUAUCCAUCAGAUAUGGUCUAAUAUACGACCCGUUCCGGUAUUUUUAGUCAGAUAUGGUCUAAAUGUAUGACUCGUUCUGGCAUUAACCAUCAGAUAUGGUUUAAUGUAUGACUCGUUCUGGUAUUCACCUUCAGAUAUGGUUUAAUGAAUAACUCGUUCUGAUAUCCCUCCUCAGAUAUGGUCUAAUGUACGACUCGUUCUGCUAUUCCUCUACAGAUAUGGUCUAAAUGUAUGACCCGUUUCUCUCAUCACAAACAACGCUAACACGAUCAAUCUCUAACAAAUACUUCUCAAACGCUCCGAACCGAAUCUAAUGCAUGAUUUGCUGGAUGGCAUAUUCAAGCCCAUCUCCGACAAAAGUCCCUACAUCAGCUAGGGCAAAUUUCUUGGUAUUCUAGUGUUCAAUCAUCUUCCACCUUCAGAUACCGACUGGCAUACAAACCACUCUACAUCUUCAGGUUUAAGACAAUUGAACAGGGGCAGCUGUCAUACCCCAAAAUUUGCCCUCAUAUAUUUACGAAUGACACUUUAUUACGAAUAAAAGUAAUGGCACGUUUGGUAAGAGUGUAAGGUUUGCGGGUACAAGGUCCCAAGUUCGAAUCCCAUGUCUGGCAUUUUUUAUUUUUUUUUAUUUAACUUUACUUCUGUUUUAAAUUAUUUUCAAAAAAAUCAUAAAAUUGUAUUUUUUUAAUUAUUUUUAAUCAAUUUUCGUAUUUUAUUAAUUAUGUAUUUUAAAAUAUUAAUUUUUUUAUUUUUUUUUAUUUUUCCAUUUUUAUUCAUAGAAAUUACCAAAAAAAUCAUAAAAUAAAAUAAAAAAAGAUUUGAAAACUUUCUUUCCUUUUUCUCUUUUUAGGAAGAACACUUAUUUUUAGAAAAGAAUUAUUGUAAUUAGUUAAAAUAAUUUUUGAGUCUUAAAUGAAAUAAUAUUUGAUUUUUAAACCUGAAUUAUAUUUGAUUGAUUAAAUGAUUUUAUUCUAUUUUUAAUUAACCUAAUUUUAUGUGUAUAUAUAUACUAACAUUUUCUACACUUUUGGGGGGACAUUCACGGAUAACAGCAAAAUUGGAAUAGCAGCGAAGAAAAGUUGAACUUUGACAAACACCGCCGUCAACCAUUCCACACGGUCGGAACGCUACCAGCGCCUCCGUCGCUCACGGGUUUCUGAUAGGCAUCACUGCGUAAUUCUCUCGCUGACAACACCGCAACUACCAGCAGCUGACGCAUCCAACAACUCUGUCGGCCGGAAAACCACCGCGCUGGAUCCACAGCGCCUCCGGUCAAACUCAUCCUUCGCGUGAUCCUCCGAUGAAAUCAUCGUCCGCCCUCGGAUUGCCGUUUCAAUGUGUUGAUGUAAGUUUUUCUCUUUUCUUGUUUGAUCUGCAUCUAUAGGCGAUAACGUUGUUAAUUCUCUGGUUUUUUCCUUGAAUAUUCACCGUGGUUUUUUUUUAUUAGAACAAACAUGGCUGUGUUGUUUCUGUAUUUUGUUCGGUGUACAGGGAUAAAAGAAGAACAUAGUAAAGGAAAUGUAUCGUGACCUUCUUUUUUUUAUUGUUAUAAUGUUUUGUUUUUUUAAUUAGACCACAUGUGAAACUGUGAUUGGAUGGUACUUUUUUACUUUGAAAAUUCAAAGAGAGAGAACGAAGGAUUGUUGUUGAUGCCAUGUUUCACUUUUUUUUCCCUCUUGUUUUAAUUUCUUAGUAUUUAUCCACUAGUUAUAUAAAUUCAAUUAGGAUUUUAGAAAUUAUAAAAAUGGACUUUGGAUCUUUAGUUAGUUAGUUAGAUUAAUUUAAUUAAUUUUGUUUAACUAAUUUAUUAUAAUUCAUUAAUUUUAGUUUAGUUUAUUUUAUUGCAUUGUUUUUAAUCAUAUUAAUCAAACAUGUCAAGAAACAAAAAUAACCCUUUUUUAUUUUGUUAGUUUUUAUCCAAUAAGCUUUUUUCGUACAAAUUUAGAUUUAUUAGUUUACUCAACUUCACUAAUUUGUUUUUUGUGAGAUUAGUUUACUUAAUUUCUACCAUUAUAAAAUAUCAAAAAUAUUAGGUUUAGUUUCUUUUCUAUUUACUCGAUAUAACAAUAUUUAAAAAUAUUAAAAAAUAUUAUUUUAGUUAAUAUUUGUUUAGAAAUUAAUAUAUUUGUAUUUUUUGUUAAUUUUUUUAUUAAUCAUUGUUCAUAUUAUUUUAUAUAUCCGUCCUCCCACUUUCUUGUUUAUUGCGAGGUACAUUCGAGCUGUUCAUCUAUUCCUGUGGAUAUUUGCAAAUUCAUCAUCAAUCUCCUACCAUCCAGAUCUAACGUACACAAAGCUGAAGGUUUACCAUGCACCCUCACUCGAAGGGUUUGUCCUGCCCGAGGCUUCCCGCCAACCAUAUCAGAUCAAAUGCAAAGCUAAGUAUCUAUUUUUCUUUAUUUAUUUAUUUAGCCUUACAAUAUUUGUCCUUUUAUUUUAGGGCUAGUUCUUUUACCUUCGAACCAAUAAUGCACUCACUCCCUCUGUUUAUUCUGUCUUUUUCAAUUUUUAGGGUUCGUCGACUGCCAAAGCUACGAGUACUGGUAACCCUAAACCCUGAUAUUUCUUGUCUUUUAUUACUUGUGCCAAACCCUAUUAGGGAUCCGCUGGUUUCAUUGUCCCCUUCCCCAUAUUGCUAUUGUUAUUGCUGUAUGAUAAACUGCGUGGUUAGUAAUUUAGGGAGUGUAACCUUGAAUUGAAUUAGCCUCACUAACUAUAAGAUAAUUUAAUCGAAUUAAUCACGUGAUUGUUGCACACACGCACCCUUUUGGGGUAACCUCUCUGUUGCCUUGUUGCCUGUUGCCUGUUGCCUUUGUGUUUUUUGCAGAAUAAGCCAUGUCCCUCGAAUACGAGGAUACCUCAGCCAUGCUGCCUCGAUAAUUAAAGGUCAUAUGACCCUAAAUGAUGCUGCCUUCGAUACACAAAUAUGACCUCGACCCUCGGAAGUUGCCUACGGAAAAAGGCUGAGGUAUCUUCUGGCUGCCUACGAAAAGGCUUAUUCUGAUCCUUCCCCUUAGACUACCUGCCCCUCUAUGGCAUGGGUCAGUCUUUGGGCAAAGGAUAUCUCGACGACCCUUCAACCUCCAAACGAAAGGCUUCCUGCCCACUUAUGGCAAGGAUUGACCCUUUCAUUCUGAAAGGCUAAAAAGAGACCUAUCAUCUGAGUUUAAGGUAAUUGCCCCUAAUUGCCUUGCAAUGCUCAAACAAUUUUAAUAUUCUUUCUCACAAUUCUUCGAAAACUGGCUACACUCAUUUACGAGUUAAAGUCCACUUUUUUCUUUCAUCUACUUUUUCUAAAAAAACAAACGAGCAAGCAAAGCAAUUAAGAGCCCAUGGAAAACCAUGGAUGCAAAGGGUGCCUUACACCUUCCCUUUGCAUAAAUUACCCCCCGAACUUAGAUUUCUUAAAAAGGUUUUUUCUGUUUCUUUUAGCCUUUCUGAAUUCGUUUGGAUAAAAUAAAAGUCGGUGGCGACUCUUGCUUAACCGCGACAUUUCGAUUGAUAAAAAGUCAGUUCACCGUAUCACAGAACUGGCGACUCUGCUGGGGAUUAAAAUUCGAUAAAAGAGGGGUUACCUUAAAAGUUUAGGAAUCACUAAAAUGUUUUCUAUUGCCUGCUUUGCUUAUUUUAUUUUUCAGGGCUGUUUUGGGAAAAUUGAAGGACGAAUCCUAUUCCCGGAUUCAAGAACACUUAAGAUUAGGAGCGGCAUAGUCAUGGAGACCCCCCUUGUGCAUGCUUGGGGUUGGUCAAAAUGAAGUUCGCGCUUGAGUUAGGCCUCCACUGGUUAUUGUGUACCUCUUUUGCAUGAGAGAGGUUUAUGCAUGUAUCUUUGGGUGCGUCGGAGCUCAAGGACCUUUAGUCACCUUUAACCCAUCCUGACUUUUAGGAACGUAGUGGGAGGGCUAUUCUUGGUGCAUGCCAAGUUAUGGUCGCUACCCGAUACUACAGCUCAGAUAGGUUUCUUCCUAAAGUAUCAUUGCGUGGUAUGCAUGUACCAUGUUCGAGGGUGCUUUAGAGGGGGCUGACAAUUCUGAGUCACUUGGUAGAACCCGUUGCUGAAAUCUCCUUAUCCAUAAAAAUACCCUUGGGAAGGACACCUGAUCAGACUCCAUGCAAGCCUUAAGCCAAAAAUUGUGUGACUUGCGUGACUUGUGUGACUUGUUUGUGUUUGCUACUAACCUUCGUUCCUCGCAGGUUUUGUUGAAAGGACUCACUUGUCCUUACUAUUAUCUCACACUAUGCCUAAUUAACUUCAUUCGCAUAACAUCAUGACAUCAUAAGCAUAACAUGAUUUAACUAACCCUUUCAAGGAUCUUAGGGAUUUAGGGCACACAAUUUCAUGUGCUCUUAUCAAGGACGGAAUUCCUAUCUAGGGGCAGGAGGAUUUACUUUCCUCUGGCCAUUUGUCUUCCAAAUCAAAGACACCACACCUAUCAAUGGGCAAAAGGAUUUAUUUUCCUUUGGCGUUAUGCCUUCCAAUUCAAAGGCUCCGUACCUAUCAAGGGGCAAAAGGAUUUAUCUUCCUCUAGCCAUAUACCUUCAAAUUCAGAGAUAUCCUGAAUCAGAGGCGAUGACCCACUCGAUAUGGUGAGCUUGGUUCUCUAAGAAAGACGUUCAAAGACAAAAUUCAGAAUUCUUCAGACAAAGACGCGACCAAAUCAUUUUCUAAUAUUGCUAACUAAAUUCCUAAAGAUCCUUGAAAAGAUUGCAUUUGCAUUCAUAACAUCACAUAGAACUAACUUUUCCUUUCAGGUCGACCAACUGGUCAGACAGAUACCAUCAACAAAUCAAUCUCUAUCAGAUGAACAUUCUGGAAGCUUGACCCCCAGACUUCUGAAACAUUCCAAUUAGAUAUACAUUCCGGAAGCUCGAACCCCGGACAUUCUGAAAGUUCCAAUCAGAUGAACAUUCUGGAAGCUUGACCCCCAGACUUCUGAAACAUUCCAAUCAGAUAAACAUUUCGGAAGCUUGAACCCCGGACAUUCUGAAAGUUCCAAUCAGAUGAACAUUCUGGAAGCAUGACCCCCAGACUUCUGAAACAUUCCAAUCAGAUAUACAUUCCGGAAGCUCGAACCCCAGACAUUCUGAAAGUUCCAAUCAGAUGAACAUUCUGGAAGCUUGACCCCCAGACUUCUGAAACAUUCCAAUCAGAUAUACAUUCCGGAAGCUUGAACCCUGGACAUUCUGAAAGUUCCAAUCAGAUGAACAUUCUGGAAGCUUGACCCCCAGACUUCUGAAACAUUCCAAUCAGACAUACAUUCCGGAAGCUCGAACCCCGGAUACUCUGAAUCUCUACACCAGUUCCACAACAACAACGCAAGCCAGAUGUACCUAAGCGCCAAUUCACCAAAAUCAAUAUGUCGUCAGCUCAAGCAUUACAACAUUUGUAAAGAUCAAAUUGAUUACUCUGAGAGAUUCUCCUAAGAAUUCUAACACCUCCACUCCUGGCUAUAAACUCAAUGCGAGGUGCGCGUGCCAUUCCAACUUUCCUGGACAUUACAAAAACAAUUGCUGGACAUUGAAGAAUAAGAUCAAAGAUCUGAUCAAUGACGGAGAAAUCAAAUUCGACCCUCUUGAAUAUUCCUGUGGUGAUCACCGCUCUUAUGCCUAGUCAUGACAAUACUGAUUGACGUCUGGCAGGACGAACUUUUGGAUCAUUAUAUCUACUUUCAUGCGCAAUUCCUAUUCUGUUUGUUUAAACAUUCGGCUUAUGAUAUACAUUAUCUAUUUUAAUAAUCAUCAUCAGUGCAUUGCAUAUGUUUGUCUUGAAUAAAUUAUUUCACUAUCACUCAUCUAAACUGCAUCUUUACUCUACAUAUGUUUUAUGAUACUCAACUCCUGCUAAAGCUGUAUACCUUUUGAGGGAGGAUGACGAAAAUGAUACCGCGAACUCAUACAGUAUGCUUUUGAGCGGACUAUGCUGACGAUGUACAGGCAUUGCUUUAAUUCCUAAACAGUGGAGAUAUAAGGAUGUUAAUCCCUCGUCAACCCCUUUGAGCCUAAGAAGUAGAAGUUUCUCUCUUGAACAAAUUAAAAACCCUUGAUCAUAACCUGGGGCAGGGUAGUUCUCAGUUAAUUUGGCUGUGCAUUCUAUUUUAAGAGAAUCAUUCAGUACCCCUUUCGAUAAAGGCUUCAAUCACAAGCGUUCAUCCGCACACAUCAAAGAAGUGUUGGAGAUGACAAUCAAAAAACAAUGAUGGUUCGUCAAUCAUCAAACAAGACAGUCAAUAUCUUCAAAAGAAAAAAUGAAAAAAUAUAUAUACAAAGAAAAGCCUGCUAAGUCAAAAAUCAAAAGACGACUUAGGCAAAAUCAAGGCAUCCCGCUGACUGUAAUCUCAGAAAUAAACAGUUCAGGCAAAAGUUAGGAAUAUCAAAAAGAUGAAAAAAGAGAAGUCAAUAUACAACACAAUGUUGUGACUACCAAAGGAAGAAGCGACUGCCAUCUCAAAAGCUUUCCUUGCUUGUGAACCAUCAUCAUUAUCAAAGGUGCAAAUCCAAAAGUCUCUUGGAACCUGAAUGCACAAGUUGAAUUAACUGAGCUUAGGAUCGAAGAUCAUCACGAAGAGGGGUGGGUACAAUCAAUUUUUGAGCCUUUAUCCUUCGUUUCUUAAACCGUGAACCAAGCCACGUUACAACCCUUAAAAGUCCUAACUGAAGCAUGGUUAGUUCGAAAGCAUACUGUCACAAAAAAGGUAUCCUGACUCCUUAAGGUUUACCAAAAAUGCUGAGUUGAUAUUUCAUUUUUUACAAACAUCACGCUUUUACAAACGUCACGUUGUUACAAAUAUCAUGUCUUUACAAAUGUCAUGUUUUUACAUCUCCAGUUUUAAUGUUUUUCAAAAACUCAAGACAAACGUAUGCAUUGCAUCUCAUGAAUACAUUAUUAAACAUAUUCUGCUACAUAAUUUCAAAUGUUAGCAACAGAAAGAAUUUGCACAGGGUACAACUAAUGAUUGAAAGUUAUCCCGAUAAACAAAAUUACUCCAAGGAAGCCAUGUCUCUUACGUAUACAAGGGGCAUGACAUGUUUCGUCCAAUCAAUCUGGGGCAAUCAAGUCAAGAUUCUGAGAAUCUCUCAUGGAUGCUCGAACAAUCAGGGGCAUGCACCCAAGCAUAUCUAAAGCUACUCCCCAAUCAACGUGAGACAUUGUCAUGAGCCUAUGAUUACUGGGGGCAUAUCGCCCAUAGUAAACAUCUCAUAAAGUCCUCGCGAGGCGAAUCUUUCCAAAGUUCCUGCUAACUGGGGCAAAUCUAUGCAAGUCCAAAUUCAACAUCUUGAUCAAUACUCAGUGGCGUGUCCUGAAUCAAGUAGUAAGUUACUAUGAUACUGGGGGCAACUUUCAAGACACCCAUGUCUCCCCACAGAGCCAGGUUCACAAAACCACCUCCCCGCAGAGUAAUCAUUAAGAAGACAUCUUCAAACAUACUCGUCCUGACAAAGACAUAGCUCCUCAACAAAGUUUACAUUUUCAACACUGCUGGUUCUCCAACACUUUGUUCUUCUCCAACAUGGUUUAUUAAUCCCCAGUCAGGGUACAUCAAGUUACUGAUCAUCCCCAAGCAGAAAUCAUAAAUCCCCAGCUACACAUCUUCAAAACAAGAUCAAAUAUCCAAUCCACAAGGAUACAUAGAUUUGUUUUCUCAGAACAACAUCAGUCAUACAUCAUAUACAUCACAUACAUAUUCAUACAUUGCAUACAUUACUUUAUGAUAAACAUACAGGAGAAAACUCGUCAUACAGUACAUGCAUCAUGACAUUGCAUAUUUCUAAUUUUGUUUUCAGGUUCCGCUUCGACAAACAUUCCUCUCAAAUAUAAUCGAGAUGAAGAUUCACAUUCCAAAACUUCAUCAAAAUAACUUACCAACUCCAAUGUACAAGCAUUCUCUAUCAGAUAUGGUCUAAUAUAUGACCCGUUCCGGUAUUCUCAGUCAGAUAUGGUCAAAUGUAUGACUCGUUCUGGCGUUAUCCUUCAGAUAUGGUUUAGUGAAUAACUCGUUCUGACAUCCUUCAUCAGAUAUGGUCUAAUAUAUGACCCGUUCCGGUAUUCUCAGUCAGAUAUGGUCAAAUGUAUGACUCGUUCUGGCAUUAUCCAUCAGAUAUGGUCUAAUAUACGACCCGUUCCGGUAUUUUUAGUCAGAUAUGGUCUAAAUGUAUGACUCGUUCUGGCAUUAACCAUCAGAUAUGGUUUAAUGUAUGACUCGUUCUGGUAUUCACCUUCAGAUAUGGUUUAAUGAAUAACUCGUUCUGAUAUCCCUCCUCAGAUAUGGUCUAAUGUACGACUCGUUCUGCUAUUCCUCUACAGAUAUGGUCUAAAUGUAUGACCCGUUUCUCUCAUCACAAACAACGCUAACACGAUCAAUCUCUAACAAAUACUUCUCAAACGCUCCGAACCGAAUCUAAUGCAUGAUUUGCUGGAUGGCAUAUUCAAGCCCAUCUCCGACAAAAGUCCCUACAUCAGCUAGGGCAAAUUUCUUGGUAUUCUAGUGUUCAAUCAUCUUCCACCUUCAGAUACCGACUGGCAUACAAACCACUCUACAUCUUCAGGUUUAAGACAAUUGAACAGGGGCAGCUGUCAUACCCCAAAAUUUGCCCUCAUAUAUUUACGAAUGACACUUUAUUACGAAUAAAAGUAAUGGCACGUUUGGUAAGAGUGUAAGGUUUGCGGGUACAAGGUCCCAAGUUCGAAUCCCAUGUCUGGCAUUUUUUAUUUUUUUUUAUUUAACUUUACUUCUGUUUUAAAUUAUUUUCAAAAAAAUCAUAAAAUUGUAUUUUUUUAAUUAUUUUUAAUCAAUUUUCGUAUUUUAUUAAUUAUGUAUUUUAAAAUAUUAAUUUUUUUAUUUUUUUUUAUUUUUCCAUUUUUAUUCAUAGAAAUUACCAAAAAAAUCAUAAAAUAAAAUAAAAAAAGAUUUGAAAACUUUCUUUCCUUUUUCUCUUUUUAGGAAGAACACUUAUUUUUAGAAAAGAAUUAUUGUAAUUAGUUAAAAUAAUUUUUGAGUCUUAAAUGAAAUAAUAUUUGAUUUUUAAACCUGAAUUAUAUUUGAUUGAUUAAAUGAUUUUAUUCUAUUUUUAAUUAACCUAAUUUUAUGUGUAUAUAUAUACUAACAUUUUCUACACUUUUGGGGGGACAUUCACGGAUAACAGCAAAAUUGGAAUAGCAGCGAAGAAAAGUUGAACUUUGACAAACACCGCCGUCAACCAUUCCACACGGUCGGAACGCUACCAGCGCCUCCGUCGCUCACGGGUUUCUGAUAGGCAUCACUGCGUAAUUCUCUCGCUGACAACACCGCAACUACCAGCAGCUGACGCAUCCAACAACUCUGUCGGCCGGAAAACCACCGCGCUGGAUCCACAGCGCCUCCGGUCAAACUCAUCCUUCGCGUGAUCCUCCGAUGAAAUCAUCGUCCGCCCUCGGAUUGCCGUUUCAAUGUGUUGAUAACAAACAUGGCUGUGUUGUUUCUGUAUUUUGUUCGGUGUACAGGGAUAAAAGAAGAACAUAGUAAAGGAAAUGUAUCGUGACCUUCUUUUUUUUAUUGUUAUAAUGUUUUGUUUUUUUAAUUAGACCACAUGUGAAACUGUGAUUGGAUGGUACUUUUUUACUUUGAAAAUUCAAAGAGAGAGAACGAAGGAUUGUUGUUGAUGCCAUGUUUCACUUUUUUUUCCCUCUUGUUUUAAUUUCUUAGUAUUUAUCCACUAGUUAUAUAAAUUCAAUUAGGAUUUUAGAAAUUAUAAAAAUGGACUUUGGAUCUUUAGUUAGUUAGUUAGAUUAAUUUAAUUAAUUUUGUUUAACUAAUUUAUUAUAAUUCAUUAAUUUUAGUUUAGUUUAUUUUAUUGCAUUGUUUUUAAUCAUAUUAAUCAAACAUGUCAAGAAACAAAAAUAACCCUUUUUUAUUUUGUUAGUUUUUAUCCAAUAAGCUUUUUUCGUACAAAUUUAGAUUUAUUAGUUUACUCAACUUCACUAAUUUGUUUUUUGUGAGAUUAGUUUACUUAAUUUCUACCAUUAUAAAAUAUCAAAAAUAUUAGGUUUAGUUUCUUUUCUAUUUACUCGAUAUAACAAUAUUUAAAAAUAUUAAAAAAUAUUAUUUUAGUUAAUAUUUGUUUAGAAAUUAAUAUAUUUGUAUUUUUUGUUAAUUUUUUUAUUAAUCAUUGUUCAUAUUAUUUUAUAUAUCCGUCCUCCCACUUUCUUGUUUAUUGCGAGGUACAUUCGAGCUGUUCAUCUAUUCCUGUGGAUAUUUGCAAAUUCAUCAUCAAUCUCCUACCAUCCAGAUCUAACGUACACAAAGCUGAAGGUUUACCAUGCACCCUCACUCGAAGGGUUUGUCCUGCCCGAGGCUUCCCGCCAACCAUAUCAGAUCAAAUGCAAAGCUAAGUAUCUAUUUUUCUUUAUUUAUUUAUUUAGCCUUACAAUAUUUGUCCUUUUAUUUUAGGGCUAGUUCUUUUACCUUCGAACCAAUAAUGCACUCACUCCCUCUGUUUAUUCUGUCUUUUUCAAUUUUUAGGGUUCGUCGACUGCCAAAGCUACGAGUACUGGUAACCCUAAACCCUGAUAUUUCUUGUCUUUUAUUACUUGUGCCAAACCCUAUUAGGGAUCCGCUGGUUUCAUUGUCCCCUUCCCCAUAUUGCUAUUGUUAUUGCUGUAUGAUAAACUGCGUGGUUAGUAAUUUAGGGAGUGUAACCUUGAAUUGAAUUAGCCUCACUAACUAUAAGAUAAUUUAAUCGAAUUAAUCACGUGAUUGUUGCACA
Molecule: long non-coding RNA, 18306 nt
Organism: Vicia villosa (hairy vetch)
Lineage: Eukaryota; Viridiplantae; Streptophyta; Magnoliopsida; Fabales; Fabaceae
Exons: 2
Source: RefSeq, a predicted model, not a curated record